GACGAACGCUGGCGGCGUGCUUAACACAUGCAAGUCGAACGGAAAGGCCCUGCUUUUGUGGGGUGCUCGAGUGGCGAACGGGUGAGUAACACGUGAGUAACCUGCCCUUGACUUUGGGAUAACUUCAGGAAACUGGGGCUAAUACCGGAUAGGAGCUCCUGCUGCAUGGUGGGGGUUGGAAAGUUUCGGCGGUUGGGGAUGGACUCGCGGCGUAUCAGCUUGUUGGUGGGGUAGUGGCUUACCAAGGCUUUGACGGGUAGCCGGCCUGGGAGGGUGACCGGCCACAUUGGGACUGAGAUACGGCCCAGACUCCUACGGGAGGCAGCAGUGGGGAAUAUUGCACAAUGGGCGGAAGCCUGAUGCAGCAACGCCGCGUGCGGGAUGACGGCCUUCGGGUUGUAAACCGCUUUCGCCUGUGACGAAGCGUGAGUGACGGUAAUGGGUAAAGAAGCACCGGCUAACUACGUG
RNAcentral lists this ribosomal RNA (468 nucleotides) under uncultured bacterium. Its description in RNAcentral is "partial 16S ribosomal RNA". It matches the Rfam family "Bacterial small subunit ribosomal RNA", at positions 28 to 507 of the family's 1533-position model. The record is from RNAcentral.